Molecule: transfer RNA, 60 nt
Filed under: Rhodobiaceae bacterium
Lineage: Bacteria; Pseudomonadati; Pseudomonadota; Alphaproteobacteria; Hyphomicrobiales; Rhodobiaceae
Description: tRNA-Ser
Rfam family: tRNA
About the family: Transfer RNA (tRNA) molecules are approximately 80 nucleotides in length. Their secondary structure includes four short double-helical elements and three loops (D, anti-codon, and T loops).
Source: RNAcentral
GGUUAGAGCGCUAGAUUGUGGAUCUAGAGGUCCCCCGUUCGAACCGGGGUGGCUGUACCA